AACCUUUUAAGUUAAAGAUAGAGAUGUCAAAUCUCCGUAGUGA
RNAcentral lists this transfer RNA (43 nucleotides) under Myodes glareolus (Bank vole). RNAcentral describes it as "partial tRNA-Lys". The record is from RNAcentral. Lineage: Eukaryota; Metazoa; Chordata; Mammalia; Rodentia; Cricetidae.